Molecule: long non-coding RNA, 2034 nt
Filed under: Homo sapiens (human)
Lineage: Eukaryota; Metazoa; Chordata; Mammalia; Primates; Hominidae
Description: HSALNT0344486
Source: RNAcentral
UUUUUUUUAAUUUUGAGAUGGAAUCUCACCCUGUCACCCAGGCGGGAGUGCAGUGGCACAAUCUCAGCUCACUGCAACCUCCGCCUCCUGGGUUCAAGUGAUUCUCCUGCCUUAGCCUCCUGAGUAGCUGGGAUUACAGGCGUGCUCCACUGCAUCUGGCUAAUUUCUGCAUUUUUAGUAGAGAUGGGGUCUCACCACAUUGGCUAGGCUGUUCUCGAACUCCUGGCCUCAGGUGAUCUGCCCGCCUCGGUCUCCCAAAGUGCUGGGAUUACAGGCGUGAGCCACUGUGCCCAGCCACAAUUGAAAGUUUUUGUUUUUGUUUUUGUUUUUUUGAGAUGGAGUUUCACUCUCGUCACCCAGGCUGGAGUGCAAUGGCGCGAUCUUGGCUCACCACAAUCUCUGCCUCCCUGGUUCAAGCGAUUCUCCUUCCUCAGCCUCCCAAGUAGCUGGGAUUACAGGCAUGCACCACCACGCCGGGCUAAUUUUGUAUUUUUAGUAGAGAUGGUGUUUCACCACGUUGGUCAAGCUGGUCUUGAACUCCUGACCUCAGGUGAUCCGCCUGCCUCGGCCUCCCGAAGUGCUGGGACUACAGGCGUGAGCCACCGCGCCCGGCCCCAGUUGAAUGGUCUUAAUGGCUCUUUUUGCAAUUCUAGAACCAGGCACAGAUCAUUCUAUAAAACAGAACGAGGGCUCUGGCGUGCUGGGUAGAGGAGGUUGGUUUUGUAGACAGAAAGGGGCUGAGGAAGCAGACACAGAACAAAAAGCAGAUCGGUCAUUUCCAAGAGGUUUUCCUUGGAAGGUUCCAGCAGAGGGGACUUCCUCAUCAUGCCGGCAAGACCUGGCUUGUUUGGGGCUAUUCUCUGUCUCCUGGUUUCCUGGAAGGUGAGAUGAACAAGUUAGUUUUGGCUUGAUGACGUGGAGCUCUAGCACGAGUGGCUGCGUUUUGGUCUGUUCUGCCAGGCCUCCUGCAGGAGCUCAGGCCAGACCAGUGGCCUCCUACGAAUUUUAUCAAACGCGACUCAGACGAUGCCGUUCAGGCAAGGUUGAGAACCAAGCCCAGCACUGCCUGGUCCAGCCCCUGGGAAGGAAGGCAGGGCCGGGAGCCCCUCCUGCCGCCAGCAGCGACCCUGUCUCGGAAGGUUGUCUUUUCAGGGACGCUUGUACAGCAGACAGCCUUGGAAGAAAGAGAGAGAGUCUCACUCAGGAGCUCAGGACAGGGUGGAGCUGUGAGGAAUCUGGGCUGACUGCAGGGUCCCACCUGCCAGGAACAAGAACAGCUCCUUCCCGAGGCCCGGUCGUCACUGUUUCCUGAUCACCCGAAAGUGAACACCCAAAGCAUGCAAGGAACACCUUUUGUUCCCAACAGGCCUGGAAAGAGCCCUGCCCGGCCUGCUGGGGAGGCGAGCUGUUCCUGCAACAGCUUGUAAGCAAAGCGUCUCAGUAAAACAAAAGCUCACUUCAUAUAGCUUCCCGUGUGGACAGCUACAUCUUUGUUUGGUUCGUUUGUUUGUUUGGUUGAUUGGUUUUGAGAUAGGGUCUUGCUGUGUUGCCCAGGCUGGAAUGCAGUGGUGUGAUCAGAGUUCACUGUAGCCUCCAACUCCUGGGCUCAAGUGAUCCUCCCACCUCAGCUUUCCGAGUUAGCUGGGGCCACAGGCACAUGCCACCAAGCCCAGCUAAUUUUUAUAAUUUUUAGUAGAGAUGGGAGUCUCACUACAUUGCCCAGGCUGGUUUCAAAUUCCUGGCCUCAAGCAAUCCUCCCACCUCGCUGGGCCUCCCGAAGUGCUGGGAUUACAGGCAGGAGCCACCACACCGGGCCUGUAGCUGCAUCUUUGAAGAACAAGCAUUCCUGCCUUUCAUCAGCCUCUGCCUCGAGCCCUGCCUUGGUGGGACCUGCAGGGAACCCCCGCCCAGAGACACCAGCCUGCAGAGCUGCACACCAGGAGUCUCCAGGUGUUUUGCACCAGACACUCCAUUUAUUUAUUUAUUUAUUUAUUUAUUUAUUUAUUUAUUUAUUUAUGACAGAGUUUUGCUCUU